Molecule: RNA transcript, 1516 nt
Organism: Hordeum vulgare subsp. vulgare (domesticated barley)
Lineage: Eukaryota; Viridiplantae; Streptophyta; Magnoliopsida; Poales; Poaceae
Exons: 7
Source: RefSeq, a predicted model, not a curated record
GGAUCAAAAAAUUAACAUUAGACUAUGGGGUAAUAAGGUUGGACAAAUUGAUGAAGAUUCUUUGGGCCAUGUUGUCAUAGUAACAUCAACUACUAUCAGAAAACUGAAAGAGUACUUGCUGUCAUCUACAGGUGCAACUAGAGUUUAUAUCGAUUUGGACAUCCCUGAAACAAAUGAGCUUCAAAGGAGGUAUUGCUUGCAAGAUGAUAUGGUAGAGGAAAUACAGCCGGAAGCCCACUUGCAAGGCACAAUUCAAGAACAGAUGCUCUAUAACAGAAGAACCCUAAAAGAAAUAACUGAAAUUACAUAUGAAUCCGAAAAACAGGAAAAGUUCUAUACGACAGAAGCAAUGAUUAAGUCAAUUGAUACAUCAGAUGAGUGGUACUACAUAGGAUGCCGCAAAUGCAACAAAAAAGUACAAAAACAAGGGAACCACUUCUACUGUCCAAAAUGUGAGAAAGAACCUGAGAACACAUGUCCAAGGUACAAACUUAAGCUGGAGAUAUGUGAUCUCAGUGCAACAACAACUUGCACCAUGUUUGAAGCAGAAGCAAAAAAAAAUUGAUUAAGCAAUCUGCAAGCCUUUUGAUAGAUAGGGAUGAUUUUGAUAUCCAUGAGCAGACAAAACAAAUUCAGAAAAUAUGUGGGCAGAAAUAGAUUUUUCAAUUCAAAUUGAAUGACUGUAAUUUGAAGUAUGGUUAUCAAGAAUACACUGUUCAUAGAAUCUUUUUCAUAGAUUCUGAAAAAGAUUCAGCACCACAUGAUUCAAAUGUUGAGCAGAUGGAGGAUGAUAAACCCAUUCUAACAUGCACUAAAAGAACUAGGAGGACUAGGAACACACAUCAUGUUGCACAUUCAGAUGAUGAAGAAUCAGAAAAUCAGGAUAGUGAAGAGAAAGAUGAAUCCAUAUCUGUUGGUGAUAAGGAGUCUAAGAAAAAGGGAAUUCAAAAGGAUAUACAUGGGCAAGCAGACAAGUUAUCAGUUAUGAAAACGAUAAAGCAAGAACCAGAGGAUGAUGAAUAUUAACCGGACCAAAAGGGGUAGGAGAAGCAACACAGGUCGUAUUGUACACCUUGAUGAGGAACCAAAAACUAAAGAUAUUCAGGAAAUAAUCAAAUCAAAAUCUAUGGAAGCAGGCCCCAAGAGAAAGUGUGUCGCAACUCGCAAAUGUGCUGGUAUUGAUAGCAAGCAAGUAAAUAAUAACCAUGAAGAAGAAUCGGAGCAGGAAGGUACUCGGCAGCACAAUGAUUCAAGGCCUAGGACAAGGCGUAGUUGUGUCGACAAAGAAUUGAUGAACAAAGACAUUCAAAAGUGUGGUGUUUCAAGAACUCGGAAGACAAAUCGUUGAUUAGUGGAAAUCCAAUAAUUUAGCAUGUAAUAGAACAUAUACGAGCAUCAGAUUUGUACUUUUUAUGAACAUCGUUGUUUAGAUUGCUUUUUAAAAAAUGUAAUAGCGUACCUUUGUGUUAGUAAAGUCAUUAUUCUCUUAUUAAUCAUGAGUAACUGUUCAGUGUAA